Molecule: ribosomal RNA, 254 nt
Filed under: uncultured bacterium
Lineage: Bacteria
Description: partial 16S ribosomal RNA
Rfam family: Bacterial small subunit ribosomal RNA
Source: RNAcentral
UACGGAGGGUGCAAGCGUUAAUCGGAAUUACUGGGCGUAAAGCGUGCGCAGGCGGUUUGUUAAGUCCGUUGUGAAAGCCCCGAGCUCAACUUGGGAAUUGCAGUGGAUACUGGCAGGCUGGAGUACGGUAGAGGAAGGUGGAAUUCCCGGUGUAGCAGUGAAAUGCGUAGAUAUCGGGAAGGAACACCAGUGGCGAAGGCGGCCUUCUGGACCAGUACUGACGCUCAUGCACGAAAGCGUGGGGAGCAAACAGG